GGCUAGUCUCAAGGUAGUGAGUUAUCUCAAUUGAUUAUUCACAGUCAGUCACAGAUCAAAUUCCUAUUUUAUACUUUCCCCCCUUGUCACCACUGCACUUGAUGAAUAGCCUUAA
Unclassified non-coding RNA from Mustela putorius furo (domestic ferret), 115 nucleotides. It matches the Rfam family "Y RNA". Rfam says of the family: Y RNAs are components of the Ro ribonucleoprotein particle (Ro RNP), in association with Ro60 and La proteins. The Y RNAs and Ro60 and La proteins are well conserved, but the function of the Ro RNP is not known. NCBI's taxonomy places the organism in Eukaryota, Metazoa, Chordata, Mammalia, Carnivora, Mustelidae. The record is from Ensembl.